RNAcentral lists this transfer-messenger RNA (354 nucleotides) under Clostridia. RNAcentral describes it as "CAG-269 sp900554175 Standard tmRNA". It matches the Rfam family "transfer-messenger RNA". From Rfam's summary of the family: Bacterial tmRNA, also known as 10Sa RNA or SsrA, is named for its dual tRNA and mRNA-like properties. Its role is to liberate the mRNA from a stalled ribosome. The record is from RNAcentral. RNAcentral also lists the same sequence under 1 other name. Lineage: Bacteria; Bacillati; Bacillota.
GGGGGUGUAAUGGUUUCGACAUUAUACUAGAAAGAUAAAUAGCGAGUAGUGGAUGGUCGCUUUGGCCACUAUAAAAAAGCGAGAUUAAAUAUAAACGCUGAUAAUAACGAAUUAGCAUUAGCUGCCUAGUUGUAGCUACGCCUUAUUUUAUGUCCUACACAUAAUUUUAAGGUGCCAUAUUUUGUAGGAAACGAAGCUACUUUUGGCUUUGAAAGUAGUAGGUAUUUAAAAGCUAUAUUUUAAUUAAGCAUGUUUAUUUGCGUAAUUAAAAUGAAUUAAAAGAAUAAACUGCACUCGGAGAAGUUUAUGUGGAAGGUAUAGUGGACAGGAGUUCGACUCUCCUCACCUCCACCA